This 447-nucleotide ribosomal RNA is filed under the name uncultured organism. RNAcentral's name for it is "bacterial SSU rRNA". It matches the Rfam family "Bacterial small subunit ribosomal RNA", at positions 29 to 507 of the family's 1533-position model. The record is from RNAcentral.
AGCGAACGCUAGCGGCGGGCUUAACACAUGCAAGUCGAGCGCUCUGCUUCGGCAGGGAGCGGCGAACGGGUGCGUAACACGUAGGUAACGUACCCUCUGGUGGGGAAUAACUUCGGGAAACCGAAGCUAAUACCGCAUGCGCCCUUCGGGGUGAAAGACUUCGGUCGCCAGAGGAUCGGCCUGCGGCCCAUUAUUUAAUCCUAGUUGGUAGGGUAACGGCCUACCAAGGGUACGAUGGGUAGCUGGUCUGAGAGGAUGAUCAGCCACACUGGGACUGAGACACGGCCCAGACUCCUACGGGAGGCAGCAGUGGGGAAUAUUGGACAAUGGGCGAAAGCCUGAUCCAGCCACGCCGCGUGAGUGAUGAAGGCCUUCGGGUUGUAAAGCUCUGUCGGGAGGGAAGAAGAUCUGACGGUACCUCCCAAGAAAGCACCGGCUAACUCCGUG